AAAAAAAAAAUUAUUAUAGAUUAAUAAUUUUAUUUUAAAUUUAUUUUUCAUAUAAAUUUUAGUGUUAAAUUUUAAUUAUUUUAAUAAUAUUUAUUUUUAUAAGUAGUAAUUAAUAUUAAAAAUUUAAGAAAUUAAGAUUUAGUAAUAUAAAAAUUAUUAACAAAUUUUGUGCCAGCAGUUGCGGUUAUACAAAAAUUAAAAUGAAAUAUAUUAGUAUUAAAAUAAAUAAAUUUAUUUAUAAAUUAAAAUUUAAAUUAUUAGGUAAAAUUUUAAUUUAUUUAAUUUUAUAAUAAAUUUAUGAUUUAAUAAAUUUAAAUAAGAAACUAGGAUUAGAUACCCUAUUAUUUUAAAUAUAAAUAAAUAAAACUAAAGUAGUAAAUGAUUAUUUAUUGAAAUUUAAGUAAUUUGGCGGUAUUUUAGUUUAUUUAGAGGAAUCUGUUUAUUAAUUGAUAAUCCACGAAUUAAUUUACUUAAUUUAAUAUUUUGUAUAUCGUUGUUAAAAAAAUAUUUAAAAAUAAUAAAUAAUAUUUAAAAAUUUAAAUUUAAAAUUAAAUCAGAUCAAGAUGCAGAUUAUAAUUAAGAAUAUAAUGGAUUACAAUAAAUUUAUUUAAAUGAAUAUUUAUAUGAAAAAUAAAUUGAAAGUGGAUUUAAAUGUAAUUUUAUUUAUUUUAAUAAAAUGAUUUAAAAUUAAAAUAUGUACAUAUUGCCCGUCGCUUUCAUAAAUAAAUUGAAAUAAGUCGUAACAAAGUAGAGGUACUGGAAAGUGUUUCUAGAAAGAU
This 779-nucleotide non-coding RNA is filed under the name Idaea simplicior. Lineage: Eukaryota; Metazoa; Arthropoda; Insecta; Lepidoptera; Geometridae. The record is from RNAcentral.